GAUGAACGCUGGCGGCGUGCUUAACACAUGCAAGUCGAACGAUGAUCCCCAGCUUGCUGGGGGGAUUAGUGGCGAACGGGUGAGUAACACGUGAGUAACCUGCCCUUGACUCUGGGAUAAGCCUGGGAAACUGGGUCUAAUACUGGAUACGACCUUCUGGCGCAUGCCAUGUGGGUGGAAAGCUUUUGUGGUUUUGGAUGGACUCGCGGCCUAUCAGCUUGUUGGUGGGGUAAUGGCCUACCAAGGCGACGACGGGUAGCCGGCCUGAGAGGGUGGACGGCCACACUGGGACUGAGACACGGCCCAGACUCCUACGGGAGGCAGCAGUGGGGAAUAUUGCACAAUGGGCGAAAGCCUGAUGCAGCGACGCCGCGUGAGGGAUGACGGCCUUCGGGUUGUAAACCUCUUUCGACAGGGACGAAGCGCAAGUGACGGUACCUGUAGAAGAAGCACCGGCUAACUACGUGCCAGCAGCCGCGGUAAUACGUAGGGUGCGAGCGUUGUCCGGAAUUAUUGGGCGUAAAGAGCUCGUAGGCGGUUUGUCGCGUCGACUGUGAAAACCUGGGGCUUAACUCUGGGCCUGCAGUCGAUACGGGCAGACUUGAGUUCGGUAGGGGAGACUGGAAUUCCUGGUGUAGCGGUGAAAUGCGCAGAUAUCAGGAGGAACACCGGUGGCGAAGGCGGGUCUCUGGGCCGAUACUGACGCUGAGGAGCGAAAGCGUGGGGAGCGAACAGGAUUAGAUACCCUGGUAGUCCACGCUGUAAACGUUGGGCGCUAGGUGUGGGGAGCAUUCAUGUUUUCCGUGCCGUAGCUAACGCAUUAA
This 824-nucleotide ribosomal RNA is filed under the name uncultured Kocuria sp. RNAcentral's name for it is "bacterial SSU rRNA". It matches the Rfam family "Bacterial small subunit ribosomal RNA", at positions 28 to 863 of the family's 1533-position model. The record is from RNAcentral. Lineage: Bacteria; Bacillati; Actinomycetota; Actinomycetes; Micrococcales; Micrococcaceae.